Molecule: ribosomal RNA, 1432 nt
Filed under: Vibrio alginolyticus
Lineage: Bacteria; Pseudomonadati; Pseudomonadota; Gammaproteobacteria; Vibrionales; Vibrionaceae
Description: bacterial SSU rRNA
Rfam family: Bacterial small subunit ribosomal RNA
Source: RNAcentral
CCUAACACAUGCAAGUCGAGCGGAAACGAGUUAUCUGAACCUUCGGGGAACGAUAACGGCGUCGAGCGGCGGACGGGUGAGUAAUGCCUAGGAAAUUGCCCUGAUGUGGGGGAUAACCAUUGGAAACGAUGGCUAAUACCGCAUGAUGCCUACGGGCCAAAGAGGGGGACCUUCGGGCCUCUCGCGUCAGGAUAUGCCUAGGUGGGAUUAGCUAGUUGGUGAGGUAAGGGCUCACCAAGGCGACGAUCCCUAGCUGGUCUGAGAGGAUGAUCAGCCACACUGGAACUGAGACACGGUCCAGACUCCUACGGGAGGCAGCAGUGGGGAAUAUUGCACAAUGGGCGCAAGCCUGAUGCAGCCAUGCCGCGUGUGUGAAGAAGGCCUUCGGGUUGUAAAGCACUUUCAGUCGUGAGGAAGGUAGUGUAGUUAAUAGCUGCAUUAUUUGACGUUAGCGACAGAAGAAGCACCGGCUAACUCCGUGCCAGCAGCCGCGGUAAUACGGAGGGUGCGAGCGUUAAUCGGAAUUACUGGGCGUAAAGCGCAUGCAGGUGGUUUGUUAAGUCAGAUGUGAAAGCCCGGGGCUCAACCUCGGAAUAGCAUUUGAAACUGGCAGACUAGAGUACUGUAGAGGGGGGUAGAAUUUCAGGUGUAGCGGUGAAAUGCGUAGAGAUCUGAAGGAAUACCGGUGGCGAAGGCGGCCCCCUGGACAGAUACUGACACUCAGAUGCGAAAGCGUGGGGAGCAAACAGGAUUAGAUACCCUGGUAGUCCACGCCGUAAACGAUGUCUACUUGGAGGUUGUGGCCUUGAGCCGUGGCUUUCGGAGCUAACGCGUUAAGUAGACCGCCUGGGGAGUACGGUCGCAAGAUUAAAACUCAAAUGAAUUGACGGGGGCCCGCACAAGCGGUGGAGCAUGUGGUUUAAUUCGAUGCAACGCGAAGAACCUUACCUACUCUUGACAUCCAGAGAACUUUCCAGAGAUGGAUUGGUGCCUUCGGGAACUCUGAGACAGGUGCUGCAUGGCUGUCGUCAGCUCGUGUUGUGAAAUGUUGGGUUAAGUCCCGCAACGAGCGCAACCCUUAUCCUUGUUUGCCAGCGAGUAAUGUCGGGAACUCCAGGGAGACUGCCGGUGAUAAACCGGAGGAAGGUGGGGACGACGUCAAGUCAUCAUGGCCCUUACGAGUAGGGCUACACACGUGCUACAAUGGCGCAUACAGAGGGCGGCCAACUUGCGAAAGUGAGCGAAUCCCAAAAAGUGCGUCGUAGUCCGGAUUGGAGUCUGCAACUCGACUCCAUGAAGUCGGAAUCGCUAGUAAUCGUGGAUCAGAAUGCCACGGUGAAUACGUUCCCGGGCCUUGUACACACCGCCCGUCACACCAUGGGAGUGGGCUGCAAAAGAAGUAGGUAGUUUAACCUUCGGGGGGACGCUUACC